UACGUAGGGUGCAAGCGUUUGUCCGGAAUUAUUGGGCGUAAAGAGCUCGUAGGCGGUCUGUCGCGUCUGCUGUGAAAACUCAGGGCUUAACCCUGAGCUUGCAGUGGGUACGGGCAGACUAGAGUGCAGUAGGGGAGACUGGAAUUCCUGGUGUAGCGGUGAAAUGCGCAGAUAUCAGGAGGAACACCGGCGGCGAAGGCGGCUUCCUGGCCCAUUACUGACGUUCAGGUACGAAAGCGUGGGUAGCAAACAGG
RNAcentral lists this ribosomal RNA (254 nucleotides) under uncultured bacterium. RNAcentral's name for it is "partial 16S ribosomal RNA". It matches the Rfam family "Bacterial small subunit ribosomal RNA", at positions 524 to 776 of the family's 1533-position model. The record is from RNAcentral.